AUUGAACGCUAGCGGGAUGCUUUACACAUGCAAGUCGAACGGCAGCGCGGACUUCGGUCUGGCGGCGAGUGGCGAACGGGUGAGUAAUGUAUCGGAACGUGCCCAGUAGCGGGGGAUAACUACGCGAAAGCGUAGAUAAUACCGCAUACGCCCUACGGGGGAAAGCAGGGGAUCGUAAGACCUUGCACCAUUGGAGCGGCCGAUAUCGGAUUAGCUAGUUGGUGAGGUAACGGCUCACCAAGGCGACGAUCCGUAGCUGGUUUGAGAGGACGACCAGCCACACUGGGACUGAGACACGGCCCAGACUCCUACGGGAGGCAGCAGUGGGGAAUUUUGGACAAUGGGGGCAAGCCUGAUCCAGCCAUCCCGCGUGGGCGAUGAAGGCCUUCGGGUUGUAAAGCACUUUUGGCAGGAAAGAAACGUAGCAGGCUAAUACCCCGUGGAACUGACGGUACCUGCAGAAUAAGCACCGGCUAACUUCGUG
RNAcentral lists this ribosomal RNA (484 nucleotides) under uncultured bacterium. RNAcentral's name for it is "partial 16S ribosomal RNA". It matches the Rfam family "Bacterial small subunit ribosomal RNA", at positions 30 to 507 of the family's 1533-position model. The record is from RNAcentral.